Molecule: ribosomal RNA, 252 nt
Filed under: uncultured bacterium
Lineage: Bacteria
Description: partial 16S ribosomal RNA
Rfam family: Bacterial small subunit ribosomal RNA
Source: RNAcentral
UACGUAGGUCCCGAGCGUUGUCCGGAUUUAUUGGGCGUAAAGCGAGCGCAGGUGGUUUAUUAAGUCUGGUGUAAAAGGCAGUGGCUCAACCAUUGUGUGCAUUGGAAACUGGUAGACUUGAGUGCAGGAGAGGAGAGUGGAAUUCCAUGUGUAGCGGUGAAAUGCGUAGAUAUAUGGAGGAACACCGGUGGCGAAAGCGGCUCUCUGGCCUGUAACUGACACUGAGGCUCGAAAGCAUGGGGAGCAAACAGG